This 710-nucleotide long non-coding RNA is filed under the name Daucus carota (carrot). RNAcentral's name for it is "long non-coding RNA (DCAR_LNC005784)". Lineage: Eukaryota; Viridiplantae; Streptophyta; Magnoliopsida; Apiales; Apiaceae. The record is from RNAcentral.
GUUAUCCAUCAUAUGGAUCAUCUGGAUAUGGUGCAUCUAGUAAUUGGUACGGUCCUGGUGGUAAUGGCGCUGGUUCUGGUGGCUAUGGUAGUUAUGGUGGUGCCAAUCCUGGGUAUGGUGGUCCUGCUGGGGCCUCAUAUGGAAACCCUAAUGUCCCAAAUACUGGUUAUGGUUCUUAUGGUAGUGGUCCAGCAGGUGCUUCAAGGAAUGCAUAUGGUGCCCAUGCAUCUUCUGGAUAUGGUAAUACUCAGUGGGGUGCUUCGGGUGGCUCUAACGGUGGUCCUGGUGGUGCACCUGUUUCUGUGCCCACAGGUCAAUCUCCUAGUGGAGCUGCUGCCUAUGGGAACCAAGGUUAUGGCUAUGGUGGAUAUGGUGGACCGGAUGGGUCAUAUGGAAAUCCAGCUGCAUAUGGUGCUGUUGGGGGUCGGCCUGGUGGUGCCCCAAAUAGUUCAUCUGCUGGUGGUGAAGUACAAUCUGGCAGUGGAGGAUACAUGGGUGGUAAUUAUGGGGAUCCAACAGGGAAUUCAGGAUACGGAAACCAAGGAUGGAGAUCUGACCCCUCGCAAGGUUCUGGUAGUUAUGGGGCACCUAGUGGCGGACAAGUUGGAUAUGGCGGUGGUUAUGGCGCACCACAACAGUAAUUUUGAUAUCGUGAGUCUGGUUCUGAAAAAGCCACACAGUUGAUGUUCUAAAGGGCUGUUGCAGCAAAC